This 1382-nucleotide long non-coding RNA is filed under the name Mus pahari (shrew mouse). RNAcentral describes it as "lncRNA (MGP_PahariEiJ_G0002494.1)". The record is from RNAcentral. Lineage: Eukaryota; Metazoa; Chordata; Mammalia; Rodentia; Muridae.
GAGGCCUCAGCCCUGCAAUUCAGGUUCACCGGUGGGGCUUUGUGCUCUGUUGACUGCGAGCGUUUGUUAGUAGCCAUGUAGGCCAUAAAUUAAUGGGUUUUCUGGGCUUAUUUAUUUAUUUAUUUACUUGUUUAUUUAUAGACAGGGGCUCUCUAUGUAGCCCAGGCGUGGCCAGGAACUUACUAUGUAGACCAGGCUGCCCUUGAAUUCAGAUAUCUAUCUAGCUACAUCUGCCCCUCAGGUUUAAAGGCACAUGUGUGUGUGUGUUUUUAGAAGAGCAGGACGAAGAACAUGGCUGCUGCCCACUGUCCCCAGAGGACUGGCAGGGUUGUCUUGAUAUGUAUAUGUAUGUGGGCACACAGGGGGAUGUCAUGCUAGGGUCAAUGUUAAGGGAGAUACUCAUCACAGAACCUAUGCCAGGCAGAAUCAGAGUUACCUGAUGUAUGGAGCGUGCUUCGCACCCGAUUUCCUAGAUGACAAAGCACAGAGGCACAGAUUAAGACAAUGUCGCCGAUCAAGAUGUGAGCUCUCAGCUUUUCCAGCCACCGUGUCUUUGCUCUGCAAUCAUGAACUCUCUGGAACUGGAAGCCCCAAACCACAUGCUUUCUUUUAAGUUGUCUCAGCCAUGGGGUUUUAUCACGGCAAUAGAACAGAAGCUAAGACAGACCCCGUGGUCUUUUAUGUGCUAGGGAAGUGCUCUCCCAUUGGCCACACAGCCCCAGGCCAGUGACAUCAUUCUUCAUGAGUUUUCUUGAGACAAAUGUUGACUGAAUCAUCAACUAAGGGAACCUUUUCUGUGGUAAGCCAGGUCUUCUGGCACAGUGAUAACUAUUUCAUAAAUACAUAAUAUCUUGUCAUAACUAGAUUGCAAAUGGAGUCCACAGCACAUCUGUGUCAAAUGAGGAAAACCUUGCAAAUAUUAACUCAUAUAAUCAGUUUUCAAGAUUCAUUAUGGUGGUACAACCCAGUCAUCCCAGGACAGGCUCCAUACCAGCCUUUAGAGUAAGACUCUGGUAAAGAAAAAGCUUCACAACAAGUUCAGAUGGCUGUGUGUGGUGGUACAUGCCUGUAAUCUCAGCACCCAGCAAGACUGUUGCAGGUUCAAGGCCAGCCUAGUCUACACGGCAAGCCCUGUCUUGAAGGGGGUUACGGGAAAGAGAGAUGGACAAGGAGAGAAAACCAGUCUUCUUCAUUACCUAUUUCUGCAUAAUUUAUUAUUUAAUUUUGUUAUUGAUAAUAAAGGAUGCCAAAAAAUGGAGACUUUAGUAAGGUUGAAUUAGUAUGUAUGUAUAUAUGUAUAAAUAUUUAUUUACUUUUAAAAAAACAUCAUUUGCUAUAUAUAAAGUUACUUAUAAGUACACUUCUAUAAAUAUGCCAUAAUA